AUGUCUCUGCCUCCUCCUUCUCUUCCUCUUUCUCCUCCUCCUCCUCAUGUCUCUGCCUCUCCUCCUCCUCCUCUUUCUCCUCCUCCUCUUCCUCAUGUCUCUGCCUCCUCCUUCUCUUCCUCUUCCUCAUGUAUCUGCCUCUCCUCCUCUUUCUCCUCCUCAUCCUCCUCAUGUCUCUGCCUCUCCUCUUCCUCCUCCUCCUCCUCUUCCUCAUGUAUCUGCCUCUCCUCUUCCUCCUCCUCCUCCUCAUGUCUCUGCCUCUCCUCCUCCUCCUCCUCUUUCUCCUCCUCCUCUUCCUCAUGUCUCUGCCUCCUCCUUCUCUUCCUCUUCCUAAUGUAUCUGCCUCUCCUCCUCUUUCUCCUCCUCCUCUUCCUCAUGUCUCUGCCUCUCCUCCUCUUCCUCUUCCUCAUGUCUCUGCCUCCUCCUCUUCCUCUUCCUCAUGUCUCUGCCUCUCCUCCUCUUCCUCUUCCUCAUGUCUCUGCCUCCUCCUCUUCCUCUUCCUCAUGUCUCUGCCUCUCCUCCUCUUCCUCUUCCUCAUGUCUCUGCCUCCUCCUCCUCCUCCUCCUCCUCCUCUCCUCUUCCUCAUGUAUCUGCCUCUCCUCCUCUUUCUCCUCCUCCUCCUCCUCCUCUUUCUCCUCCUCCUCCUCCUCCUCCUCCUCCUCAUGUCUCUGCCUCUCCUCCUCUUCCUCUUCCUCAUGUCUUCUCACUGUGAACUCUUCUUUUUUUCUGUCAGAUUCUGUCCUCCUCCCUCUUUCCUCCGACUCGUCACUUCCUCGUUCCUUUAACUUAUUUUACCUUCCUCCUCAUCCUCCCUUCCUUCCUUCCUUGGAUAAACAUAUUCCUCCCUUGUCCUCUUUUCCUCUUCUUCUUCUUCUUCUUGUCAUCCUUAUUUUCCUUUCCCAACCCACCUCUCCCAUCUUCUCUCUUUCUGUCCUCACUCCAUCUGUUCUGCUGCAGAUUCAGCCAUUUUCUCUUCUCUUCUUCCUCAUCCCUUUCCCUCCCUCUCCUCCUUCCUAA
This 1017-nucleotide long non-coding RNA is filed under the name Scophthalmus maximus (turbot). RNAcentral describes it as "lncRNA (ENSSMAG00000023808.1)". Lineage: Eukaryota; Metazoa; Chordata; Actinopteri; Pleuronectiformes; Scophthalmidae. The record is from RNAcentral.